Molecule: transfer RNA, 95 nt
Filed under: Puccinia triticina 1-1 BBBD Race 1
Lineage: Eukaryota; Fungi; Basidiomycota; Pucciniomycetes; Pucciniales; Pucciniaceae
Description: Puccinia triticina tRNA PTTG_20634
Rfam family: tRNA
About the family: Transfer RNA (tRNA) molecules are approximately 80 nucleotides in length. Their secondary structure includes four short double-helical elements and three loops (D, anti-codon, and T loops). Further hydrogen bonds mediate the characteristic L-shaped molecular structure. tRNAs have two regions of fundamental functional importance: the anti-codon, which is responsible for specific mRNA codon recognition, and the 3' end, to which the tRNAs corresponding amino acid is attached (by aminoacyl-tRNA synthetases). tRNAs cope with the degeneracy of the genetic code in two manners: having more than one tRNA (with a specific anti-codon) for a particular amino acid; and 'wobble' base-pairing, i.e. permitting non-standard base-pairing at the 3rd anti-codon position.
Source: RNAcentral
GGCCAAAUGGUCUAGUAGUAUGAUUCGCCCUUCGGGUUCUCCCGCCUCCGAGGCGUACUUGGGCGAGGUCCCGGGUUCAAUUCCCGGUUUGGCCC